AGCGAACGCUGGCGGCAGGCCUAACACAUGCAAGUCGAACGAACUCUUCGGAGUUAGUGGCGGACGGGUGAGUAACACGUGGGAACGUGCCUUUUGGUUCGGAAUAACUCAGGGAAACUUGUGCUAAUACCGAAUGUGCCCUUCGGGGGAAAGAUUUAUCGCCAUUAGAGCGGCCCGCGUCUGAUUAGCUAGUUGGUGAGGUAACGGCUCACCAAGGCGACGAUCAGUAGCUGGUCUGAGAGGAUGACCAGCCACACUGGGACUGAGACACGGCCCAGACUCCUACGGGAGGCAGCAGUGGGGAAUCUUGCGCAAUGGGCGAAAGCCUGACGCAGCCAUGCCGCGUGAAUGAUGAAGGUCUUAGGAUUGUAAAAUUCUUUCACCGGGGACGAUAAUGGCGGUACCCGGAGAAGAAGCCCCGGCUAACUUCGUG
RNAcentral lists this ribosomal RNA (433 nucleotides) under uncultured bacterium. RNAcentral describes it as "partial 16S ribosomal RNA". It matches the Rfam family "Bacterial small subunit ribosomal RNA", at positions 29 to 507 of the family's 1533-position model. The record is from RNAcentral.